GCCAGGCGGAGUGGCGCGUGGCUGUAGUCCCAACUGCUCCGGAGGCUGAGGCUGCAGGAUCGCUUGAGCCCAGGAAUUCUGGGCUGUAGUGCUCUAUGCCCAUCUGGUGUCCGCACUAAGUUCUGCAUCAAUAUGGUGACCUCCCGGGCGUGGGGGACCACCAGGUUGCCUAAGGAGGGGUGAACCGCCCCAGGUCGGAAACGGAGAAGCUCAAAACUCCCGUGCUGAUUAGCAGUGGGAUCGUGCCUGUGAAUAGCCACUGCACUCCAGCCUGGGCAACAUAGCUAGAGCCUGUCUCU
RNAcentral lists this signal recognition particle RNA (299 nucleotides) under Saimiri boliviensis boliviensis (Bolivian squirrel monkey). RNAcentral's name for it is "Metazoan signal recognition particle RNA (ENSSBOG00000002268.1)". It matches the Rfam family "Metazoan signal recognition particle RNA". From Rfam's summary of the family: The signal recognition particle (SRP) is a universally conserved ribonucleoprotein. It is involved in the co-translational targeting of proteins to membranes. The record is from RNAcentral. Lineage: Eukaryota; Metazoa; Chordata; Mammalia; Primates; Cebidae.